GAGACACCUGCUCAGCCAGCGACAGAGGAUGAGACUCACACAGCCAGAGCUUGGCCUUGAACCUGAGAAUACAAGGAAAACAAGAAGGUACCUCAGGCCCCCCUGCCCCAGGACACUCCUUGGUCUCUACCUAGACCAGAAAUAUCUGUAUGGCUCACACACUACCAUUCCUACAGGAACUAGGCGUGAAGGCAGUACCUUGGCUUCGUACCCAUUCACCACCUCCGUUUUCUCACUGCGCCAGCCAAGAAUACCCGUCUUGUUCCUGCAGAGAGAGGCAGAUGCAUUAACAUGGGGCUGAAGACCUGCAGACAGAGGUGAAAUUCCCUACCAGAUUAAUGCAUCACUCAACUUCAUCUUCACAUUUAAGGAGGCUGUGUCUAAAACUGGAACUAGUUGACUUGAUGCCUUGCUGUCCAUGCCAUCUCAGAAUGGACCAUUGAGAUAAAGAUUUCUGUAACUGAGGCAACAAAAUGUGCAGAAAUUCCCAUGGUAUCAACAGCUCACUGCUAGAUAGGUUUUUUAAAUGGAUUUUUAUUUUUCAUAUCUUUUAUGCUAAAUAACAUAGGAUGUUUGUAGAUACUAGUACAAUUAAUGUACAAAAAGAACACUAAUAUUGGAUAUUU
This is a long non-coding RNA of Astyanax mexicanus (Mexican tetra), 626 nucleotides long. RefSeq lists it as uncharacterized. The record is from RefSeq and is a predicted model, not a curated record. Lineage: Eukaryota; Metazoa; Chordata; Actinopteri; Characiformes; Acestrorhamphidae. The transcript is spliced from 4 exons.